Molecule: long non-coding RNA, 857 nt
Organism: Cercocebus atys (sooty mangabey)
Lineage: Eukaryota; Metazoa; Chordata; Mammalia; Primates; Cercopithecidae
Exons: 2
Source: RefSeq, a predicted model, not a curated record
UACCUGCUUAUACCCCUGAACCACAUCAACAGUGGACCCAGAAUGUUCUAGGGGUACCACUGUUACCCUUGCUGUCUGUGGGUCUAGGGGUACCUCUGUUACCCUUACUGUCUGUGGGAGGCAGCACGGGCUCACUUGGGGGUAGUGUCACUCUGCUGGAGAAAUGGCAUUUCCACAGGAGGCUUUAUUUGGUGCCGUGGCUACUAAGUGUCGUCCCCAAGGCCAGGGCAGUGAGGAUGCCCAUCACCCCGAGGCACAGAUGUUUCUGAACCUCAGUGGGGCGGGUGUGGCAGUCGUGUUCGAAGAAGCUUCCUGAGUGAUUCUGGGAUAAGGCCACUCUGUCCACUUUGGAUUGGAAGGGCUGCCUUGGGGUGGGGUGGAUUGCAGGUCAGCCCUGCUGGGCCAUCUGCAUUGUGUGUCAGCGUUUUGCUUCCCCCAGCCGUGUUUGUCUUUCAGAUUUUCUUGGAUCAGAAAACCAGUUGGCGAGGCUUCCGGUCCAGACUUGUAAAGAGAUAGAAGCAUCACCUCUGUUACCUUCUGUUCCCCAAAGCAGCCUGCUGGUGCCACCCUUCUUAUUCAUCAGCAGGCGUUCCUCUCCGUCCUCCCUGGAGCCUUCCUUGUCUCUAAGGCUGUCAUUUCCAGCUCCCGCCUUAGGCUGCUGGAGCGCUAGCCACACACAGAAAUGUAGAUAAUGGGAUCGAUUCAGGCGUUAACACAGGGACAGCUCAUCUUCCUCGUAAUUCUUGGGUGGAGGGAGGAGGUAUAUUUGUAUGACAAGGUAAAUAAUCCAUUUCUAAUCUUUACUGAUCCCUCCAGAGAUGAUGAAGGCAAGCCAAUUUAAAGAGUCAAACAACAAA